GAUAGCAAUUGACACGUGAACAACUUUGCAAGUGGUCCAACACACUAUAUAUUGCAACAUAUACACGCACUACUAUCAUAGACGUGAUAUCUCGACAUAAGUGUUAUAAAUAGUCAAGGAGAGCGGUAAAAAGAAAAGAUUUGAGUGCAUUAAUCAGCUCGAACGAAGUAACGCGGCAGUUGAUACGAUGUUUGUUGCGACAUCCAUGAUCGAUUAAACGAUCAUGUACUUUAUUCAUAUAUUACAUAUAUAAUGUCUUUGAAAGAUGACGGAAGAUAACUGGGACACCCUGUAUAUAGCUUGAUAGCAGGCAAACAGGAGGGUGGGGUUCUUAUCGCAAUAUUUACGCAUCUGAAAUUCGGUCGCGAGUGGGGAUGGAUGGAACAGGCGAAGAGAAUGGCUGUCGCGACUAAUAUCACGCACCGGUCAGCUGUACUUUGUGCCUCGAACCC
Long non-coding RNA from Camponotus floridanus (Florida carpenter ant), 452 nucleotides. RefSeq lists it as uncharacterized. The record is from RefSeq and is a predicted model, not a curated record. The transcript is spliced from 2 exons. NCBI's taxonomy places the organism in Eukaryota, Metazoa, Arthropoda, Insecta, Hymenoptera, Formicidae.